GUUCCUUAAGCAUUUCAUUAGUUUUUAUUCUCCUUUCAUUUAUCUUCUUCUCAACCCGAGGGUAGGCUUAAAACUCUCUUCCCCAUCAUUCUUAUUUUCAUUUCUUCAAGAUUUAAGGAGUGGAAGGACAAGCUAGACGAGAGCUAUUAAGGAGUUAAAGGCAAGCUUGCAUCCUAAAUGUUGAUCCAAUGAAAAAGCUUAGCAUGAGUAGCUGGCGAGACCUCUAGCAAAGGCAAGGCGCAUGUGGUGGAAUAGAAGAUUUCUUCUAUUUUCCUAGCCAAAUGCUUAUGAGUGGAUUUUGUUUUAUUUUAUUGUACUUGCAAAUUUUGGUUGGUUGUGACUUUAUUAUAUAUAUACACCUAUAUGUGUGUGAGUUCUUUUUCCAAGUAUGCUUAAAAUGCUUUUUCGGUUCAAAUGAGUACA
Molecule: long non-coding RNA, 423 nt
Organism: Dioscorea cayenensis subsp. rotundata (Guinea yam)
Lineage: Eukaryota; Viridiplantae; Streptophyta; Magnoliopsida; Dioscoreales; Dioscoreaceae
Exons: 3
Source: RefSeq, a predicted model, not a curated record